This 253-nucleotide ribosomal RNA is filed under the name uncultured bacterium. RNAcentral describes it as "partial 16S ribosomal RNA". It matches the Rfam family "Bacterial small subunit ribosomal RNA", at positions 524 to 776 of the family's 1533-position model. The record is from RNAcentral.
UACGGAGGGAGCUAGCGUUGUUCGGAAUUACUGGGCGUAAAGCGCACGUAGGCGGCUAUUCAAGUCGGGGGUGAAAGCCCGGGGCUCAACCCCGGAACAGCCCUCGAAACUAGAUAGCUAGAAUCUUGGAGAGGCGAGUGGAAUUCCGAGUGUAGAGGUGAAAUUCGUAGAUAUUCGGAAGAACACCAGUGGCGAAGGCGACUCGCUGGACAAGUAUUGACGCUGAGGUGCGAAAGCGUGGGGAGCAAACAGG